GACCUACGGGGGGCAGCAGUGAGGAAUAUUGGUCAAUGGACGAGAGUCUGAACCAGCCAAGUAGCGUGAAGGAUGACUGCCCUAUGGGUUGUAAACUUCUUUUAUAUGGGAAUAAAACAGGGUAUGCAUACCCUCUUGUAUGUACCAUAUGAAUAAGGAUCGGCUAACUCCGUGCCAGCAGCCGCGGUAAUACGGAGGAUGCGAGCGUUAUCCGGAUUUAUUGGGUUUAAAGGGUGCGCAGGCGGAAGAUCAAGUCAGCGGUAAAAUUGAGAGGCUCAACCUCUUCGAGCCGUUGAAACUGGUUU
Molecule: ribosomal RNA, 305 nt
Filed under: uncultured bacterium
Lineage: Bacteria
Description: bacterial SSU rRNA
Rfam family: Bacterial small subunit ribosomal RNA
Source: RNAcentral